This 483-nucleotide ribosomal RNA is filed under the name Triticum aestivum (bread wheat). RNAcentral describes it as "partial small subunit ribosomal RNA". The record is from RNAcentral. Lineage: Eukaryota; Viridiplantae; Streptophyta; Magnoliopsida; Poales; Poaceae.
AUGGCCGGCGUUCGCCGCGCCGCUGCGCUCCUCCUGCUGCUCGGCCUCGCGUGCACCCCCGCCCUGGCCGCGCGUGACGCCGCCCAGGCGAAGCCCAAGCACCCCUCGGGCCCGGCGGCCGGCAAGAAGCCGGCCAAGCCGUACGUGCCGCCGGCCACCAAGCCCCCGGGGUCGGGCGGCGUCGGCGGCGGAGGCGGGAUGCCGAACAUCCCGGGCAUCGGCACCAUCCCGGGGUUCACCGUGCCCGGGAUGGGGGGCGGGUGGGGCGGGGGCUACGGCGGGCCCGACGGCGGGUACUCGCGCGGCGGCGUGGUGGCCUCCACCACCGUCUGCUCCGAGAAGGGCCCCUGCUACAAGAAGAAGCUGACGUGCCCCAAGAAGUGCUUCUCCUCAUACAGCGGCUCCGGCAAGGGGUACGGCGGCGGCGGCGGCGGGGGCGGCUGCACCGUCGACUGCAAGACCAAGUGCAUCGCCUACUGCUGA